UGCUGCAUAAUGUUAUGAAGAAACCUGCUGUGAUGAGCUGUCCAAGGUCACAUCUGUGGAAAGCAACACCUUUUCUUCCAACAGACCUAGUUCAGUUUAACCAGGACAAGAGUGAGGAAAGUGACGACUGACUGAUGAUACAUUACGACUGCAGUGGGAAAAAAAUCAAAAGCACAAUCAUUUAAUAAUACAACACCAAGUGACACUUUUGCAGGCAGCAGAUCUCAGGUAGUCAGCAAACCCUUUGACUGUGAAACAUUAAAAAUCAUCCAAUGGGGAAAACCUCCAUCCAGAGCAGAAAGACUAAGCAAACCUCUGGGACCACCAAACUCAUUAAGGACCACUUCCCAGAGGCCUGAUCCAAGAGCACAGAUCCUUCUUUUUUUUUUGUUUCUAUGGCGACUGGUCUAUGCUGGAUCAUCAUUAUCCAAAGGAAAGGCAACUUUCUGCAUUCCUGAAGCAUGACGAAAAACCCGGCGGAGCUCAGAAUUUGGCAGAGCUGCAGCUACACGGCCUGCGAGGAGCUCCGCACAAUGACAUGCCUCUGCGACGACACACACGAAGUGACAGCCAUGUAAGCUCAGACGCAUAUGCAUUUUACACCGCGGUGACUCUGAAUACCAGUCACCUGUUGGACAUGUCACACCUCCGUAGUGAAAACAAUUUCAAGUUUCAUCAGCG
Molecule: long non-coding RNA, 681 nt
Filed under: Scleropages formosus (Asian bonytongue)
Lineage: Eukaryota; Metazoa; Chordata; Actinopteri; Osteoglossiformes; Osteoglossidae
Description: lncRNA (ENSSFOG00015029585.1)
Source: RNAcentral